Molecule: non-coding RNA, 473 nt
Organism: Erpetoichthys calabaricus (reedfish)
Lineage: Eukaryota; Metazoa; Chordata; Cladistia; Polypteriformes; Polypteridae
Source: the annotation of a RefSeq genome assembly
GUUGUCAUUUCUGUGUGAUGUCAGUUUUUUUCUUUUUUUGUAUUUCCUGUCUUCAAUUGCUCAACUUCUUCUCUGUUGCAAAGGCUGACCGCGACACCAUGUACCUUCUGCUCUGUCUCCUGUGCCUUUGUCUUCAUACCUACAGCUUCACGGUGACAUCUCACGGUGGUGACACGGUGUCCCUGAACUGCUCGUACCCUAAUGGCUCAUCGAUGCUCUGGUACAGACGACUCCCUGACCAGCCUCCUCAGCCUCUGCUGCAGACGUUCAGCCCUAAAUCUUCAAGCUGCACUUUCUACAUUGAGUCGGGAGGACACUUCACUGUGAAGGAAAAUCACACUUUGGUCAUCCAUAAUGUAUCAAGUCAUGACACGGCAACUUAUUACUGUGCAAGGCUGGAAACAGACGUGUGCCGCUUCGCUGAAGGGAUCGACCUCAGAGUGGACGGCAUCCCAGUGGGGCAAGGUCCUUAG